RNAcentral lists this microRNA precursor (60 nucleotides) under Eisenia fetida (common brandling worm). RNAcentral describes it as "Efe-Mir-1996-P2_pre stem-loop". Lineage: Eukaryota; Metazoa; Annelida; Clitellata; Crassiclitellata; Lumbricidae. The record is from RNAcentral.
UUCAAGUGAGGUCAGUGCUGCUCGAUUUUUUUCAGCAGCUGUACUGUCUUCGUUUGAUAU